This 81-nucleotide non-coding RNA is filed under the name Pseudomonas trivialis. Lineage: Bacteria; Pseudomonadati; Pseudomonadota; Gammaproteobacteria; Pseudomonadales; Pseudomonadaceae. The record is from RNAcentral.
UACCGAGCGCCGCGAGGUGACGGGAUGAGCAUGCAGAAGUCAGCCGAAGCCGUAGUAAGUGACGAAUAACCCGUCAUCCGC